CUUUAGAUGAAAUCCCAAACACUAAAUAUGCUAGUGUUAGUGGAGUUGUAAACAUGAAUGUGAAAGCUGCAGUGCUUUUUGUUGUAUUUGCUUUGUGUUUCCUGUUUAUGCUUUACAAACUGAUGUCGUCAUGGUUCAUUGACGUUUUGGUUGUUCUCUUCUGUAUUGGUGGUAUUGAGGGCUUGCAAACAUGCUUGGUUGCUCUUUUGUCCAGGUGGUUCAAGCAUGCUGAAAAG
Molecule: long non-coding RNA, 236 nt
Organism: Glycine soja
Lineage: Eukaryota; Viridiplantae; Streptophyta; Magnoliopsida; Fabales; Fabaceae
Exons: 3
Source: RefSeq, a predicted model, not a curated record